GUCAGAGGAAAAUGUUACUACUAUAUUCACAUAGAGACUGAUCAGUAUGUUAUAAACCAAAGAUCCCCCCACAUGGGGAAAAUCUGAUGAAACAUAACAUGAAACCGUUUCCUGGGCAGUGUUUCAUUAACUACCUGGGACAACUGUGAGCUGUCGUCCUCCGCUCUCGCUGACGUGCUCUCGUCACCAUGGUAACAUUUUCUCAAGCAAGUCAGAUGCAGACGAGGUUGGUCCCGUGUGCUGUCCCAAGCAAGCCGAGGAGUGAGAUGUGAAGUGUUUUACCGUAGAGUUUCUGCAGAAUGUUCUUCCCAGCUUAGUUUGUUUUCAACAUGUUUAACUCUGGGGCAGAGAGAUCUAAUACAAAUAAUAGUUUUGAAUAGCUGACAUUCAUUGGCUGUGAUAUCUGAAUUCAUAUGGACAUACAUCCCUAGCAUGUAAUGAUGUGUUCGCAUGUAUGUUUUUUAAGUAACUUGUUCAGUCUUGUUUUUCUUAGCUGCCAUAGUAACACACAGUGACAUCAUAGUCCUUUUCUUCUCAUGACAGCUAAUCACCAGUUCAGAACACAUACACACCUACUAAUGUGUUAACCACAGUAAAGGAGGGAAUUAAUAUGUCAUCUGGAAAUAUACAGCAUUCAUAAAUGUGUCUCCACAGUCUAGCAAAGAUGACAAAUGACUCCAUAAAAAGUAACUUUUAAAUGGUUUUGAAAGUAUGUAUCGAGCCG
Long non-coding RNA from Osmerus eperlanus (European smelt), 724 nucleotides. RefSeq lists it as uncharacterized. The transcript has 3 exons. NCBI's taxonomy places the organism in Eukaryota, Metazoa, Chordata, Actinopteri, Osmeriformes, Osmeridae. The record is from RefSeq and is a predicted model, not a curated record.